CUUUUAAUUUUUUCUAUUUCUUUGUCAUUGUCUCUUUUUGUUUCUGGAUUUUUUUUCAAAUUUCACUUCCCAUUCUGGGGAGGACUUAUAUUGAGCACCGGAACUAAACGACUGUACUGGAAUGAACUUGUUGCCCUGUUGUCAUUUCCAGUCUCGCAAGGCACAGUGAAUAUCAAAAAUUAAAUGACUUUCUGGAACUAAAUUGCUGCCUUGCCAUUGUUUCCUUGUCUGGGGAAGACUUAUAGCAAAUACCAGAGUUUAAAUGCUGCCCUGAAACAACACUGCUGCCCUGCCGUUGUUUUCCAGUCUGGGGAAGACUUAAAUGGGCACUGGAACUUAAUCUCGACCUUUUAGUUGUUUCUGAGCUAGAGGAAGGCUCCACUCACGCACCUGGGAUUUGUGGAAAACCCAGCUGGGGAUUUGGGCCUUCCUCUGGAUUGUGCCCCUGAGGCACUAUGGUCCUGGCCAGUUUGUUUAACUUGGCAUCCCCACUGAUCAGAGUGCUGAGAUCAGCUUUCUGUGAUGAACACCCAGGUCAUUGUUUCCAGCUCACCCCAAGUAGUUAAGCUUUCCUGACACUCCCAAUGGUUCUGAUCAAAUAGGACCAGAAUGGACUUCGCAUGAAGAUUCCUAGACCAGUGGGGAGAUCGAAUAUUCACCUCCAAUUCCCUCCUUCACUAGCAACCAUGGGUCUAGGGAAAAUCUCUGUGAGUGGUACUAUGCCAGCUUAGGGGAAGGGGUGGCACAGUGUUAAAUGACUGUUCAUCCUACCUGUCAUGGCUUCUCUCAAUUCUGUGUGCCUUGGUGGUUUCUCUGCUUCCCCUCUGAGUUCUGGUAUAUUCAUGGUGGUAUUCUUGUCAUUGAAUGGUUUCUAAUUGUAUUUUUGUCAGGGACGUGAUGCUGGGGGAUUGUCUGUUCCACCAUCUUGCUAAUAUCACUCUGAAACUCUAUUUUUGAAUAAUUUUAGAUCUAUAGAAAAGUAGCAGAAAUAAUACAGAGUUAUUUGAUUUUUCACUCAGUAUCCCCAAAUGUUAACAUAGCACCAUGGUAUAGUUAUCAAACCAAGGAACCAAUAUUGGGAAAUUACUAUUCAUGAAACUUCACUCUUUUUUUUUGAUUUUACCAGGUUUUCCACUGAUGUCUGUCCCAAGGUCUGAUUGAGGAUCCCACAGUGCAUGUAUUUCAACAGGCUUUUAGUAAAUAUUGGGAUUCCAGGCUUUGUCUCUGGCUAGAUAUGAGAGUACAAAUCCUCUGUGCCCCUCCACCUCCCCAGACAGUCAUGCUGUACAAUCUUGGGACAUAGGGUAAAGUGAAGGGCCUCUUCGGGCAGGCAGGUAAGUCAUCAGGCCACUCCAUGGGCCCUGGGAGACCAUCAGCACACAGUUGGGCCCUUCCUCAGCAAGCAGCUCUGUGUUCUCAGCAGUAGGAAUGAGUAAGCAUUGAGGCCUCAAUAGUUGGCAAAAAGCAGAUCUUCCUGUGGGAAAAAUACUUUGAAUAAGGAAGAAAAAGGAGAUUUGUAUUAUAUAAGUUUGGCUGUCUCUAAUUUAAAGAAAGUUAAACUUUAUUGCACAACGACUACUAGUUCUUUCUUCUUCUUCUUCCUUCUCCUCCUCUUCCUUCUCCUUUUUCUCCUGUCUCCUCCUACUUCUCCUUGUCCUUUUUCUCCUCCUCCUUCUCCUUCCCUUCUCCUCCUCUUUUUCUCCUCCUCCUCCUUCUUCUUUCCCUUCUCCUUCUUCUCCUCCUCCUUCUCCCCCCCUUCUCUUUCUCCUCCUCCUUCUCCUUCUUUCUUCUCCUCCUCCUCCUUCUCUUCUCCUCUCCUCCUCCUUCUCCUUUUUUCUUCUCCUCCUUCUCCUCCUUCUUCUCUUCCUUCUCAUUCUUCCCCUUCUUCUUUUCCUUCGUUUCCUCCCCCCCCUCCACCUCCUCUCAAAUUUAGUUUUCCACGGAAUCCCCCGUCCUUUGGAAAUUUUUUUUUUGCUUAGUAUCUGUUUAUUUCUCCCAGAAUCAUAGUUUGGAAUUAAUGGACACAUAGUAGUUAAUCAGAUGAUAGAGAUUAAAGUGAAGGGAGGCAUACACUGGAAUAGCAAAAUAUGUUUGCAGUGAAACCCAAUGAAUAGAAUACUUCAUGUUAGGGUGAAGUAUUGGAGGAAAAACAAAUACUUUCAUUAAAAUCAAAGCUACUCUUCAGAAUUUCAUUAUUUUCUUUUAAUGAGAAAUGUGUGUGUUGGUCGUCUUGUCGUCUUUGACUCUUAAAAUGUAACCAAGCAAAUUUUAAACUAUAUCUCUAAAGUGCCUAAGUGUGAUGCCUACGUUACCUUUAACUUAACUUCGUUAGUGGCAGAGGUUCCAUGAGUUAUGAGUACUCUGCUCUGUGAAUGUCUCCAUUUUUGAGGUGCCUUUGUGGAGUAUUGAUAGGGACCAUUCCUGGGCUCCACUUACAGACUUCUGUUGGGGAACAGGAUCUCACAAAGCAGAACAGGAGUUUGUGAUAAGGAAGAGGACAAAGAGAGCAGGUCCUUGUGUUCUUCAAAAACGGUGAACAUUAUCCUACUGAUUUUGGACCAAGGCAGUUCUCCAGUGGGAAGUGACACAGAACCUACCACAGUGCCUUCCAAUCCAGGUUUUUGGUAAUGAGUGAUGAAUGAAUCCCAUGAGAGCAGAGCCCCAUGGAGCGGGUGGCAAAUGUUGCUCUCUGACUACAGUUCUCUCCUUAGGGAUGCUAACACAGACUGCCUCAGAUGCAGGCAGGGCUGCUUGUCCACACUGAUCAGGCAUGGAUUUGCAUUAACAUCUGUAGUGCCCUUUACUUGUGCAGUGAGAUACUGGGAUAUACAACAGAAUAGGUGCUGGAAGAGGCAUCCACUACAGUGUGGGCAGACUCUUUGGAUCUGUAUUAAUAACAGCCUCUCCCAUGGAUUAGCUAGUCCAGGCUUUGGUGCUUUAUUUCCUCCCAAAAUAAUGGAGUGUGUACUCCUUAGUUAUGUGUAGCACCAAGAAAAUUAAUCCAGAUGUCAUUUUUUUUUUUCCCCUCCAGCGUGGCUGGAUACUUGGCAGGGCACACAAUCACAUGGUCUUCAGAUCUUCUAAAAGCUGAUUUUCCUGGGCCUAAUCCCAUGAGAGUUGGAGACAGUCUAUGAUAAUUACUGAUUCAGCUCCUGCUGGUGUUGAACUUACUGAGAAACUUAAACAAGAAUUAAAAUACACACCCACACACCCUCAGAUGGAGCCAAACACUAAACCAGAUUAGUCUUUCGUGGUCACCUUUUCUUCAGGAUUAGGAGGAUCAGAAAGCAAGAGCAGAUUCUGAAACACUGUAACCCCAUUCCCUACUGGGUCAUAAGAGGCUGGUGUUCUUGAGGACGAAGGUCGGCAGCAGGUGCCAACUAGGUACUGGCUUCUGGUCCCCACAGAGCUGACCUGCCACAGCCCAAGCGUCUUGUUUUGGUUAAAAAAUGAGUCUCUUGGCCUUUCAUGCCUGGGCGUUCUCCGAAACUCAGAUGUUUGUGAACCAGGUUCAGGGACUCUCAAGUUCAAGUCACUGGCAGAUUGGAGAAAAGACCUAGAAGUUCUAAGUGUCUGAGGUAAUGAGAGGAGGGACGCAAAGCCUCAUUCAAUGAGACUGCAAAGUCACCUGAAUGGGAAAGCUUGCCCUAUUGCUGGCCUCGGCAAUGGCACCUUCAGGUUGUCCCCUGUACGGGUUGAUGAGGGAGUGGAGGACCCCAGGUCCCUUCUUAAUGUCAGCCUUGGCCACAGGUUUCGAUGAAAUUUAGUAUGUUGAUUAGGAGCUGCCAAAAUCAGAGCAACUCCCCUCCCAAGGGGACGUUUAGUUUUCAGUUGUUAAAAAUACACCCUGAGACAGAAAUUUUGGGACACUUAAGUGACUUUGAAAUCCAUCCAAAGGUUACUCUGUUCCUUCACUCCACACAGCUCAGGCAUUUCCAUGUUGGUCUCAGCUGCCAUCUCAAUGGUUUAUUCUUUUUACAUGUUGGAGCAGAUCUGGACCUCCCAAAAUGUUUUGGGGAGAAGUGGGCUUAGAGGGGUUUUCCCUGCUCUGUGAGAGAAGGAAUUUAGCAAGGAUUAAUUUUUCUAAGAAGGUGGCACAAGUUUUGAUGUGAUUUGCUGGAAAAUAGUAAUAGUCACAAUUUAUCUUAUUCCCCCAAGAGAAUGGGAUGAUGUUCCCAUGGAACUUUGCUCAUCCUGCUAGCAAUAACUUGUAUUCUCUUUCUGAUUCACACAAACAAGGAUCAGAGGGUGAUGGUGGGGGAAAUGAUACCAGGAAAUACAGUUCGUUUUUUGCAGGGAUUCAGAAUGUGUUGCUGGACUUCAAGAUAGGAAGAAUCUUUGCCUUGAUGGCUGAUGACAGUAACCACCCCACCUACCAUCAUCUAUUAAGGAUUUACUGUGUGGUCACUUUACAGUCAUCCAAGUAAAUUUUCGUAAUCACCUGAUUACAUGGGUACCGCUUUUCAGAAAAAGAAACAGAUUUCUGGAGGGUAAGUAACCCAAAUCGUACAGCUGAGCCAUCUGUCUGCAUCUCAAGCAUUGAGGCAGCAUUCGGCCUCCGAGGGUGUUGUCAAAUGUGCUGGUCUCUGUUAACUCAGGGUUUUGGAUUAAUGGGUGGAGCUGCUCAUUUUCACAAACACCCAGGAUGCAGUCUGCACCCUCUAUUUAAAGUGAGGUCCCUGGACGAGCAACACGGCAGCACCUGGCUGCUUGUCAGCAAUGCAGAACAUCAGGCACUCCCUGGAGCUACAGCACAAGAUCCCCAGGCAGGCGCAUGUGCAUCCAAGUUUGAGCCACACUGCUUUCUGCCACUACGGAGGAAUAAGAGAGCUGCUACCUCACUUCAGCAAUGGAAAAUGUUGCUGUAAAUCCCAUCGGACCAGCCAGUUUCUCACGACCCUUUAAAACUGAAAACGGAUGACCCGGUCCUAGGCAGGGACCAAAAUUCCUUGUCAGCUGAGGAAGUCCCGAAGAAACAUCCUGAAGAUGAUGACUGCACUGCCAUCGUGGGCAGAUGCAGCUUCCAUCUACCUGAGGGCUGAAGGGGAAAACCUUUCACACACGUGAGGAAGGCGCAGCUCUGUGGAAAGGUCACUAGAAUGGCAGCGGCAGCAAAUAGGGCUCCAAUGCACGUUUGCAGUUAACUGGGUCCAAGGAGAGCAUGGCCCUCCACAGCAAGUUUGCUCUAUAGAAUAAAGUCCUGAGCUUGUUUUUAUCACAGUUAGACAGAGAAUGGUCUCCUGUUUCUCAGUUAUCCAGGGAAGAACAGUGUAUAUUCUCUGUAGAUGAGUGUUGUCUAAUGUAGUGAUUAAUCUCUGCUAGUGUUAGGAAAGCUCCACUACUGUGUGUGUGUGUGUGCGUGCACGCGCGUGCGCAUGUGCACAUACUGCAAUCUUGACUUUCCAAUUACAGAAUGCCUAAGUCAGGUCACAUUGUCUUCUUCCAGCCAGUUUCUAAGGCAGGCAAUGGAAACAGGAGCCGAUGCCAAAUGGUCUAGAGGCAGAAGGGCUGCAUGCUUUGCAGGGCCAGCCCCAAGGCUGCCUUCCAGAGCUGCACUUUCUCUGGGGACAGUAAACUCUCACCGCAGCUGCCAGCCCCCUGUGCUUGGCCAUGCCCCUCACAUGGACUUGGAAUCAGUGUCUCUCUUGCUGAUGAGCACCUCCAGGAGCCUCAGUUUCGCCUUUAUGUGCUUAUAUUCACUGUAUUCUUCAGCCAUAGGAGUGCGGUCUUCCUUCUGGACAUUUCUAAUGCAAAUAAAGGAAAAAGGGGUCUAAGGAUCAUUUUCUGUCUUUGCUAGAUACUAUUCAUCGGGCAAAUUAUCAUUGUUUAGAAACUUUGCAGUUUAUCAACUUGUAGAAUCAGUGUUGCCGAGUGGCCCUUGGUCUCAAGACUGGGGCUGGAUUUAGACAAGUGAUGAAAAUGUUUCACCCAGAAGGCAACAUGCAACUGAGUUUUUAUAUAGUUAAUCUGGCAUCUUGUAUGGUAAGAAGGCUAAGAAAUGCAGAAAUUCUCUCUGCUAAGUAUGAAUUCACAUUGAGCUCUCAUACACCAAAAUCUUUUAUUCAUACUUAAUGUUUUCUCAUUCUUAUAUAUUUCAUCUCGUGAAAUUUUAAAUUUUUAAUUAGCAACUGGUCCACAACUUAGUUUUUUUUUUUUUCAAAAACAGAUAGUUAAUACUCCUACUUAUUAUAAAACUGUCUUAGAAUUCAGCAGCUGGAUUACAUAAUACUAUUAUAAUAAGCCUUUAUUAUUGAGUAACUUUACAUACAUAAUAUUUAUAUGCACAAGUAUUUGAGAGCUUAUAGGUCAAGCCCUGUGCUAAGUACUUUGUACCCAUGAUCUGAUAGAACCCUUAUAACACCUUGAUGAGAUGGAGCCAUUUUCUACACACUACACAUGAUGAAACCAGCACAGGAAAUCAGAUAACUUGCCUGCUCUUGGCCACCACGCGGUGCGCUGCUGCUUUGUGUUUUAUGGGAAAUUGCACAUGGCAAACAUUCAACCAUAGGCUUCCUGCCUUUAUUAGUAAAGGGCAAAUGUGGGUAAGGAGGAUAGCAUGGGGCUUGAUUUGUUCAAUGACCUAAAAAUAAACUGAUCUUAUUCAUACCCUGCCUUGUUCUAGGAAAGGAUUCUAGUGGCUUCUCAGCAGAGGGCAGGGCAAGGAACAGGUGCUCAGGAAUUGGAGCAUCUGGCACGCAGGCCCCCACUGCACUCUGAGGGGCUUCACUCUCCUCAGACACGAAGUCAUGGAACCAGAGCUUAUCUCCUAAGUCCCUCAUGGUUUUAAACUUUUUUGACAAUUAAGUUAACGUCCUCCAUUGACAUUUUCUUAAAACCUGGGUGGUUUGCAUAAUUCUACAUGUAUAAGAUAUCUGUGCAUAAUGUGACUUAGAAUAAUAUAAAAAAGGAUAAGCCAAAAAAUAGGCUUAGAUGAAAGACUGGAAAGAUACACAUCAAAACAUUAAUUCUGACUUGUCUUUGGUUAUUAUUGUUUUGGGAAUUACUACUUAAAUUUGCUUACCUAUAUUUUCU
This 7032-nucleotide long non-coding RNA is filed under the name Pan troglodytes (chimpanzee). RNAcentral describes it as "long non-coding RNA NONPTRT012601". The record is from RNAcentral. Lineage: Eukaryota; Metazoa; Chordata; Mammalia; Primates; Hominidae.